This is a transfer RNA of Aspergillus aculeatus ATCC 16872, 82 nucleotides long. It matches the Rfam family "tRNA". Rfam says of the family: Transfer RNA (tRNA) molecules are approximately 80 nucleotides in length. Their secondary structure includes four short double-helical elements and three loops (D, anti-codon, and T loops). Further hydrogen bonds mediate the characteristic L-shaped molecular structure. tRNAs have two regions of fundamental functional importance: the anti-codon, which is responsible for specific mRNA codon recognition, and the 3' end, to which the tRNAs corresponding amino acid is attached (by aminoacyl-tRNA synthetases). tRNAs cope with the degeneracy of the genetic code in two manners: having more than one tRNA (with a specific anti-codon) for a particular amino acid; and 'wobble' base-pairing, i.e. permitting non-standard base-pairing at the 3rd anti-codon position. Lineage: Eukaryota; Fungi; Ascomycota; Eurotiomycetes; Eurotiales; Aspergillaceae. The record is from Rfam.
GACAGUAUGGCCGAGCGGUCUAAGGCGAUAGACUAGAAAUCUAUUCUCUUCGGAGGCGUCGGUUCAAAUCCGACUGCUGUCG